AAUGGCCGCAGUAAUUUGACUGUGCAAAGGUAGCAUAAUCAUUAGUUUUUUAAUUAAAAGCUUGUAUGAAAGGUUGGACGAAAUAAAAUCUGUCUCUAUUUAAUUUUUAGAAUUUAAUUUUUAAGUUAAAAAGCUUAAAUAUUAAUAAAAGACGAGAAGACCCUAUAGAGUUUUAUAAUUUUAUUUAUUUAAUUAAUUUAGAUUUAUUUAUUUUAUAUAAAUAUAAUUAUUUUAUUGGGGUAAUAGAAAGAUUAAAUUAAUUCUUUUUUAAAUUUAACAUUAAUAAAUGAAUUAAAUGAUCCAUUUUUAUUGAUUAUAAGAUUAAAUUACCUUAGGGAUAACAGCGUAAUUUUUUUAAAGAGUUCUUAUCGAUAAAAAAGUUUGCGACCUCGAUGUUGGAUUAAAGAUUAGUUUAGGUGUAGAAGUUUAAAUUUUUGGUCUGUUCGACCAUUAAAUCUUUACAUGAUCUGAGUUCAGACCGGUGUAAGCCAGGUCGGUUUCUAUCUA
RNAcentral lists this unclassified non-coding RNA (507 nucleotides) under Trechobembix baldiensis. RNAcentral's name for it is "partial contains 16S ribosomal RNA (rrnL) and tRNA-Leu (trnL)". It matches the Rfam family "Bacterial large subunit ribosomal RNA", at positions 1926 to 2644 of the family's 2925-position model. Lineage: Eukaryota; Metazoa; Arthropoda; Insecta; Coleoptera; Carabidae. The record is from RNAcentral.